This 399-nucleotide ribosomal RNA is filed under the name uncultured bacterium. RNAcentral describes it as "partial 16S ribosomal RNA". It matches the Rfam family "Bacterial small subunit ribosomal RNA", at positions 338 to 734 of the family's 1533-position model. The record is from RNAcentral.
CCUACGGGUGGCAGCAGUGAGGAAUAUUGGUCAAUGGACGCGAGUCUGAACCAGCCAAGUAGCGUGAAUGAUGACUGCCCUAUGGGUUGUAAACUUCUUUUAUAUGGGGAUAAAACGUUCCACGAGUGGGUUUUUGUAUUUACCAUAUGAAUAAGGAUCGGAUAACUCCGUGCCAGCAGCCGCGGUAAUACGGAGGAUGCGAGCGUUAUCCGGAUUUAUUUGGCUUAAAGGGAGCGUAGGUGGUUUGUUAAGUCAGUUGUGAAAGUUUGGGGCUCAACCGUGAAAUUGCAGUUGAUACUGGCAGGCUUGAGUACAGUAGAGGUGGGCGGAAUUCGAGGUGUAGCGGUGAAAUGCUUAGAGAUCAGGAAGAACUCCGAUGGCGAAGGCAGUUCACUGGAC